RNAcentral lists this ribosomal RNA (1372 nucleotides) under uncultured bacterium. Its description in RNAcentral is "bacterial SSU rRNA". It matches the Rfam family "Bacterial small subunit ribosomal RNA", at positions 28 to 1381 of the family's 1533-position model. The record is from RNAcentral.
GAUGAACGCUGGCGGCGUGCCUAAUACAUGCAAGUCGAGCGAACGGACGAGAAGCUUGCUUCUCUGAUGUUAGCGGCGGACGGGUGAGUAACACGUGGAUAACCUACCUAUAAGACUGGGAUAACUUCGGGAAACCGGAGCUAAUACCGGAUAAUAUUUUGAACCGCAUGGUUCAAAAGUGAAAGACGGUCUUGCUGUCACUUAUAGAUGGAUCCGCGCUGCAUUAGCUAGUUGGUAAGGUAACGGCUUACCAAGGCAACGAUGCAUAGCCGACCUGAGAGGGUGAUCGGCCACACUGGAACUGAGACACGGUCCAGACUCCUACGGGAGGCAGCAGUAGGGAAUCUUCCGCAAUGGGCGAAAGCCUGACGGAGCAACGCCGCGUGAGUGAUGAAGGUCUUCGGAUCGUAAAACUCUGUUAUUAGGGAAGAACAUAUGUGUAAGUAACUGUGCACAUCUUGACGGUACCUAAUCAGAAAGCCACGGCUAACUACGUGCCAGCAGCCGCGGUAAUACGUAGGUGGCAAGCGUUAUCCGGAAUUAUUGGGCGUAAAGCGCGCGUAGGCGGUUUUUUAAGUCUGAUGUGAAAGCCCACGGCUCAACCGUGGAGGGUCAUUGGAAACUGGAAAACUUGAGUGCAGAAGAGGAAAGUGGAAUUCCAUGUGUAGCGGUGAAAUGCGCAGAGAUAUGGAGGAACACCAGUGGCGAAGGCGACUUUCUGGUCUGUAACUGACGCUGAUGUGCGAAAGCGUGGGGAUCAAACAGGAUUAGAUACCCUGGUAGUCCACGCCGUAAACGAUGAGUGCUAAGUGUUAGGGGGUUUCCGCCCCUUAGUGCUGCAGCUAACGCAUUAAGCACUCCGCCUGGGGAGUACGACCGCAAAGUUGAAACUCAAAGGAAUUGACGGGGACCCGCACAAGCGGUGGAGCAUGUGGUUUAAUUCGAAGCAACGCGAAGAACCUUACCAAAUCUUGACAUCCUUUGACAACUCUAGAGAUAGAGCCUUCCCCUUCGGGGGGCAAAGUGACAGGUGGUGCAUGGUUGUCGUCAGCUCGUGUCGUGAGAUGUUGGGUUAAGUCCCGCAACGAGCGCAACCCUUAAGCUUAGUUGCCAUCAUUAAGUUGGGCACUCUAAGUUGACUGCCGGUGACAAACCGGAGGAAGGUGGGGAUGACGUCAAAUCAUCAUGCCCCUUAUGAUUUGGGCUACACACGUGCUACAAUGGACAAUACAAAGGGCAGCGAAACCGCGAGGUCAAGCAAAUCCCAUAAAGUUGUUCUCAGUUCGGAUUGUAGUCUGCAACUCGACUACAUGAAGCUGGAAUCGCUAGUAAUCGUAGAUCAGCAUGCUACGGUGAAUACGUUCCCGGGUCU